Symphalangus syndactylus (siamang) is the source of this 3902-nucleotide long non-coding RNA. RefSeq lists it as uncharacterized. The record is from RefSeq and is a predicted model, not a curated record. NCBI's taxonomy places the organism in Eukaryota, Metazoa, Chordata, Mammalia, Primates, Hylobatidae.
UUCGCUUGCUAUUCCGGAAAAGGUGGAGAGGAUUUGGGGUGGACAAUCGCGGAGCCUCCCACUGGCUUUAGGGAGAGAGAGGGCUGGGGUACAGGAGAGCCCUGGGGAGCAGGCAGAGGUGGGUUGGCGAGGGCCUUGUGUGACUUGGGCUGAGAAACUUCACUUAUUCCCUGGCGCUGGCAGUUGUCAAACUGGGUCUUGUAGAUGCUAAGUCUCCAUAGAGGUAUCUUAGUUUGGUGACAAGGAUGGGACACCUUGAGUGAGCCUUUCCACUGGGCAAAUUGGAGGAUGUGUAGCCAUCUUCGGUCAGACAAGAGGUCCUGCUUGCUGAAGUCUUUCUUCAACACAUUGACUCAGAUAUUCUCUCUGGGAUCCCUGAGCCCAUCUAACCUCUCGUCCGUCCAUCAACUGAUUACUGCUCUGUCACCUCAGACGAUACCACUGGGAGCAGGAGAACUGCCUAGCUGAGCCCUGCCUGAAUGUCUGACUCAUACCUCAUGGUGGAUGACCUUGUUCCUGGAGAGACUGCUGCAGAAUGAAAGCUCCAGGGGCUUGGGUACAGCAAGUAGGCUAUGCAUUUCCCACCAGCAGGAAUCUAGCUCCUGGCCAAGGAAAUCAUAUGUGAUGUGUAGGGAAGUGUGUGGGGCAGUGGAAGGAAUGUGGACCGUUGCCUCCCUCCGCUUGUCUGGAUGGCCUUGGAUGAGGUAGGCACUGAGACAUCAAAGCAGCCAAGUGCCGCCCUGACCUUGAGCCGGCCGCUGUACGACGAGGCUGCUGCUGUUGGCUCUGCGUGAUCAGGAGAGCGGAGAUCAAAGGUACCCAUUAUGCGGAACACAUGUGCUUCGGGUGUGAAGAGUGACUUGCAUAAUCACAAGACUUUCCAGAUUUACUGCUCUGCAAGAAUGUGGACAGGACGGAGGCCCACCUUCCAGAAGAAAACAGUAAGAUCCCUGGUUUAGCUUUAUCCCUCAUGUUUGAACUUUGUCUCCGACAUGCAGCAGUAGCCACAGACAAGACCUUGGAGCAAAUGCACUGGAAACCCUGUCCCCAGGACAAGCCCCUUUGAGGGCUCAGCUCACAGAUCCGUUCGUUAUUAAUUCAUAUCUGCAUAACUAUCCUUCUGUGUCCUGAAGGCUUUUGUCCUGAUUUUCCACAGAGGCGGAGCCAGUACCGCUCCUCGUUUGCGGAUGAGCACCUGCAGAGCACAAAGCCUCUGCGCUCGUGGGGGCUGCAGACUGCGAGCUGCUCCUCAGCCCCACACAGUGUUUCUUCAAUCCCUUUCCUGGUACCCACAGCCCGGCUGGAUAUAGUAGGCUAAUCCUCCCCAUCUAAAAUGGCUCUGAAAUCAGGCUGGGGAGAGAGAGUGCAAAGAAGUCAGUGUACUGAGGAAGUGCUCAGCUGGGACUCGGCGCCACCCUCCCAGACCUCACAUGCUUCACCUGCCACAGGCAGCCACACAGCCCCCAAUGGAGCCCUGCGCUAGCGAGGCUGGGAAAGGUGAAGUGGCUGCGGCUGGGGUGUGAGAAAGGGUUGAGGAGGGUCCCCAUGGGCCUUAGGCCAGGUGUGCCAUCAUACCUGGCCAGCCAGAAGCUGAGAAGACCUUGGCCAGAGGUCUGCUGCUGUCACAGGGCCUCAAACUGAGAAGCGUGGAGUCCCUCCUCCUAGGAACAGCACAGCACGUCCCUAGGCGCUGCUGUAGUGGGCCUUCUGUGCCAUAACUAAAUUGCCAGUCCUGGCUGUUAGAGCCUGGAGUGCUCGAUGUGUGGGGAGUUCAUUUCUUUUUUCUUUUUCUUUUCUUUUCUUUUUUUUUUUUUUUUUUUUGAGACAGAGUUUCACUCGUGUUGUUCAGGCUGGAGUGCAAUGGUGUGAUCUCAGCUCACUGCAACCUCUGCCUCCUGGAGGUCAAGCAAUUCUCCUGCCUCAGCCUCCCAAGUAGUUGGGAUUACAGGCAUAUGCCUCCACGCCUGGCUAAUUUUUGUUUUUUUGUAGAGACGGCCAUGUUGGCCAGGCUGGUCUUCAACUCCUGACCUCAGGUCAUCUGCCCACCUCCACCUCCCAAAGUGCUGGGAUUACAGGCAUAAGCCACAAGAAAUAAACCCGGCCUGGAGUUUAUUUCUUGAGGACCACAGUGCCCUGGCUCGUGCCUGAGCAGAGCUGAGCACACACUGCUGUUUCUCUCACCCGUGCUUCUUUCCUGGACCCUUGGGGUAAUUGCCAGCCUCAGAACCACCGGCCAGGAAAGCCGGGGCAAGUGUGGGGGUGGAGCAGUGUGGGCAGAGACUGUGGUGGCUGGGCUGGGUUGCAGCUGGGGAACAGGCAGGAGGAAGGGAGGGCCAGGGCUCUCUAGGGGUGCGCCUUGGUGUGGGAAAGCAAGCUGCCCAAGGCAGGGUGCACUCAGGUGGGCAGGGCAGAGGCAGAGGCCAGGUGGCAGGCUGUGUGCAUCCUGCCUUCUAGGGUCUGUAUUCUGAGGCUUUGACAUCUAGUGUCUUGCUGACACUGAAGGGACAGCCCCUCCCAGGGUGUCAGUUCCUAGAGACAGGGAACAACUCUGUGCCUUUCCCACGUGAACCAAGCAAUCCAGAGUCCUACCCACUCCUCUAUGGGACUCUCAUACUCCAGGCCACUGUCUCCCUUCCCUCGUCACCCCAAAGCCAGGUCAGAGAACUAGGGACAGCUGCUGCAGACCAGAGCCCCGAGGUUAUGCAAAGCAGCCAGUCCUGGCCCUGCGGACCCCGCCUCUCCUCUUUCUUUCCAUAAAACCACAAUGAAGACUCCUGCCCAUGUUUCCCCUCCUUCUGCCUCCUGACCCACCUCCGUGUUUCUCCGUGGCCCUGUGUGGGUGACGUGCCUCCUCUGGGAACUGUGAGUACAGACUAUCUAAUGGCAGUCACCUCCUGGUCUGCUGAGCUUCAUAUGCCUUGGAUUUUCUAUUAAUACACUAUAUUUUAAGGCACGGGAUGCAGAGACUCAUGUUGGGGACCUGGGGCCGGAUAUACUCCUGCUCCCAUGGCCUCCCAGCUGCUCCCUGGCCCAGGGUAAGAGUCACUUCCCUGCCCAGCUCUGCCAUGCCUGUCUUUGGUCCUCAAAGUCCACUUGACUCCAUCUUCAAAGUAUAUCUUGGCCAUAAAUGCUCCUCACUGUGCCCACCUGGUCCAGCCCAGCACAACUUUCACCUGGAUUAUGGCGGUAGCCUCUCUACUGGGCUCCCCACCCCUUCUUGUUUGCUGGGGUCCAUUUCUUGUCCAGCAGCCAGCGUGCUGUUUCUACGCACAAAGGAGAUCCCGGAUGCCCCUGCUGGAGUCUUCCAGAGGCCUCUUCUGAUGCCCAGGAGAGAGAGCACAGCCUUCUCACGGUGCCCUGCAGGGAUCUGUGUGCCUUGGACACUGCCCACACUCUGGCCUCAUGCCCAUCCACACGCACCUUCUUGUCUCUUUCAAACAUGCCACAUCCUGUCUCAGGGCCUUGGCGUCUGCUAUUCCUGCCAUUGGUGUGACUUUCUUUCACUUCUGCACACGAUUGCCUGUUUCUUGUUACUCAGGCCUCUCCUCAGAUGUUACCAUCUCAGCGAGGCUGUCCUUGGCCACCCCUAAUAGCACCUCCCUCACCUCUCCAUGACACCCGUUUCAGCUUCUCCAUAGCUGAAAUUAUCCUCUUUAUCUGCUUAAGUGUUUAUUGGCUACCUUUACCCAGUAGACUGCAAGCUCUUUGAGGGCAGCCGCUCUCCCUCAUCCACAUCGUGUUUCCAGUGUCCAGGACAAGGCUCGAUGUUAGAAGUCAGUGAGCUUGCCUGACUGCUGGACUGCAGGGUGCUCUAGGAUGCAGAAACACUGCCCCUUGUAUUUCCCUUGGCUGUCUUUUAAAUCACAUCCCAUAUAUAAGCUUUUCAUAAAUGUAGCUCUGUU